GAACGAACGCUGGCGGCGCGCCUAACACAUGCAAGUCGAACGGGGCGGCGGGCUUCGGCCCGGCGCUCAGUGGCGGACGGGUGCGUAACGCGUGGGAACCUGCCCCGGGCUCUGGGACAACCGCGGGAAACUGCGGCUAAUACCGGAUGACGCCCCCGUGCGGGGGCCAAAGUCCUACCGCGAGGUAGGGCGGCGUGGGAGGGGCCCGCGUCCGAUUAGCUGGUUGGUGGGGUAACGGCCCACCAAGGCAUUGAUCGGUAGCUGGUCUGAGAGGACGAUCAGCCACACUGGGACUGAGACACGGCCCAGACUCCUACGGGAGGCAGCAGUGGGGAAUCUUGGACAAUGGGCGAAAGCCUGAUCCAGCGACGCCGCGUGGGUGAUGAAGGCCUUCGGGUUGUAAAGCCCUUUCGACGGGGACGAUGAUGACGGUACCCGGCGAAGAAGCACCGGCUAACUCCGUGCCAGCAGCCG
This 474-nucleotide ribosomal RNA is filed under the name uncultured bacterium. RNAcentral's name for it is "bacterial SSU rRNA". It matches the Rfam family "Bacterial small subunit ribosomal RNA", at positions 27 to 517 of the family's 1533-position model. The record is from RNAcentral.